Mastomys coucha (southern multimammate mouse) is the source of this 825-nucleotide long non-coding RNA. RefSeq lists it as uncharacterized. The transcript is spliced from 2 exons. The record is from RefSeq and is a predicted model, not a curated record. Lineage: Eukaryota; Metazoa; Chordata; Mammalia; Rodentia; Muridae.
CGCGCACGCGCAGACUGCAACUCGGCAAAGUCUGCGCAGGCGACGAGGUAUCCCGGAGAAGGCGAAGGAGGAACCGCGGACCAGCCCCUUUCAAGGAGCCAGGGCAAAAUGAUUGGUUCUCCUGCCAGACGCGCCGCCCUUUAACCCCGCCUCUAGUCCGCGGUCCUUCCCGAGAGGCUCAAGAGGAUUGGUUUUCUCACCAGAGGUUCUGCCCUCGCUCCGCCCCGCCCCGCCCCGCCCCGCUCUGGAGUUGGAGUCUGGGUCUCUUUCGACUGCUGGCUGCUACAGCCAUUUGGACCUGUCUAGUUCAGUUAGGCCUCCUGUCCCAAGUAUGGCUUGCAGUCUUUGACACCACUAGGAGACCGGAAGCUUGAGGCCGAACAGACCCCUCUUUCCCCUAACCGUCUCUUACCAUCACCACCACUGGUAGGAUGAUCCUGCGUGGUGCUAAUAACAAGGCCUCGAUGACUUCCAGGCAAAAGCUGACUUCCUCCAAGAUCCCAUCUUCAAAAUGGCAAGGUGUAAAGUACAUCAGUUUUGGAAUGCAUUUAACUCAGACAUACCGACAUCCUGAGGACGCCCACCGUCAUUCAAUGAAAGACAGAAUGCUGAACUAAGGCUAAGUGUGAUGCAAGCCUAGCUAAUGCCCUGUGGUCCCAGAAAACCAACCUUUGGAGUUACAGUUGGCAUUGGUAACAACUUGUCUGCAUAAUCUGUUCAUUUUUUUCUAACAGACAGCAUUUGCAAUUUACCAAUCUCUUGUAAGCUGACAUAUAAAUUCGCAAGGUGUGGGCUUUGAUCAUUAAAAAGUAAUAUUCCCCUCCU